GUGAACGCUGGCGGCGUGCUUAACACAUGCAAGUCGAACGGACUUAAUGAGCUUGCUUAUUAAGUUAGUGGCGCACGGGUGAGUAAUAUAUAGCUAGCCUGCCCUUUAGUGGGGGACAACAGUUGGAAACGACUGCUAAUACCCCAUACUCCUUCUCGUUAUAAAACGAGUCGGGAAAGUUUUUUCGCUAAGAGAUCAGUCUAUGUCCUAUCAGCUAGUUGGUGAGGUAAUGGCUCACCAAGGCUAUGACGGGUAUCUGGUUUGAGAGGAUGAUCAGACACACUGGAACUGAGACACGGUCCAGACUCCUACGGGAGGCAGCAGUGAGGAAUAUUGCACAAUGGAGGAAACUCUGAUGCAGCAACGCCGCGUGGAGGAUGACGCAUUUCGGUGUGUAAACUCCUUUUAAGAGGGAAGAUAAUGACGGUACCUCUUGAAUAAGCACCGGCUAACUCCGU
RNAcentral lists this ribosomal RNA (458 nucleotides) under uncultured bacterium. RNAcentral describes it as "bacterial SSU rRNA". It matches the Rfam family "Bacterial small subunit ribosomal RNA", at positions 29 to 506 of the family's 1533-position model. The record is from RNAcentral.